This 497-nucleotide ribosomal RNA is filed under the name uncultured bacterium. Its description in RNAcentral is "partial 16S ribosomal RNA". It matches the Rfam family "Bacterial small subunit ribosomal RNA", at positions 28 to 507 of the family's 1533-position model. The record is from RNAcentral.
GAUGAACGCUGGCGGCGUGCCUAAUACAUGCAAGUCGAGCGAACGGACGAGAAGCCUGCUUUUCUGAUGUUAGCGGCGGACGGGUGAGUAACACGUGGAUAACCUACCUAUAAGACUGGGAUAACUUCGGGAAACCGGAGCUAAUACCGGAUAAUAUUUUGAACCGCAUGGUUCAAAAGUGAAGGACGGUCUUGCUGUCACUUAUAGAUGGAUCCGCGCUGCAUUAGCUAGUUGGUAAGGUAACGGCUUACCAAGGCAACGAUGCAUAGCCGACCUGAGAGGGUGAUCGGCCACACUGGAACUGAGACACGGUCCAGACUCCUACGGGAGGCAGCAGUAGGGAAUCUUCCGCAAUGGGCGAAAGCCUGACGGAGCAACGCCGCGUGAGUGAUGAAGGUCUUCGGAUCGUAAAACUCUGUUAUUAGGGAAGAACAUAUGUGUAAGUAACUGUGCACAUCUUGACGGUACCUAAUCAGAAAGCCACGGCUAACUACGUG